This 65-nucleotide transfer RNA is filed under the name Shigella dysenteriae 1. RNAcentral describes it as "partial tRNA-Ser". Lineage: Bacteria; Pseudomonadati; Pseudomonadota; Gammaproteobacteria; Enterobacterales; Enterobacteriaceae. The record is from RNAcentral.
GCCUGGAAAGUGUGUAUACGGCAACGUAUCGGGGGUUCGAAUCCCCCCCUCACCGCCAGAUUAUA